Molecule: long non-coding RNA, 21229 nt
Filed under: Brassica rapa (field mustard)
Lineage: Eukaryota; Viridiplantae; Streptophyta; Magnoliopsida; Brassicales; Brassicaceae
Source: RNAcentral
AAGGUGUUUUUGAUGCUUUCUUAACGCCGUUAACCUCGAUGCACUUUUUCGCUCGAAACAAAACGGCAAGAAAAUCAUGCGCGCCCCACGGCCUUACACUUGGAUUGGCCGCGAAAAGGAUAUAUAGAAACGAGAGUGAUGUACUGUCGGGUGCGAUCAUACCAGCACUAAUGCACCGGAUCCCAUCAGAACUCCGCAGUUAAGCGUGCUUGGGCGAGAGUAGUACUAGGAUGGGUGACCUCCCGGGAAGUCCUCGUGUUGCACCCCUUUUAUUUUACCAGCACUUAAUUUUUUUUAGCCUAAAACGAGUCUAAACUUGAAAACCCCAUAACUUUUGAACCGUGAGGAACUACGUCGCCCAUAGCACCAUUUCGGAAAGCCCCAGAAACCAUAAUGGCGGUGAAUAGGGGGCGCAAUUUUUCGGGCUCAAAUUCAGCCGUUUUGACCCUCAAACGGGCUGCGGAAAGUUAUGGCACGUAAAAAAGAUCGAAAGCGGAUUCUCAAGGUGUUUUUGAUGCUUUCUUAACGCCGUUAACCUCGAUGCACUUUUUCGCUCGAAACAAAACGGCAAAAAAAUCAUGUGGGCCCCACGGCCUUACACUUGGAUUGGCCGCGAAAAGGAUAUAUAGAAACGAGAGUGAUGUACUGACGGGUGCGAUCAUACCAGCACUAAUGCACCGGAUCCCAUCAGAACUCCGCAGUGAAGCGUGCUUGGGCGAGAGUAGUACUAGGAUGGGUGACCUCCCGGGAAGUCCUCGUGUUGCACCCCUUUUUAUUUUAUAAUUUUUUUUUAGCCUAAAACGAGUCUAAACUUGAAAACCUCAUAACUUUUGAACCGUGAGGAACUACGUCGCCCAUAGCACCAUUUCGGAAAGCCCCAGAAACCAUAAUGGGCGGUGAAUAGGGGGCGCAAUUUUUCGGGCUCAAAUUCAGCCGUUUUGACCCUCAAACGGGCUGCGGAAAGUUAUGGCACGUAAAAAAGAUCGAAAGCGGAUUCUCAAGGUGUUUUUGAUGCUUUCUUAACGCCGUUAACCUCGAUGCACUUUUUCGCUCGAAACAAAACGGCAAGAAAAUCAUGUGGGCCCCACGGCCUUACACUUGGAUUGGCCGCGAAAAGGAUAUAUAGAAACGAGAGUGAUGUACUGACGGGUGCGAUCAUACCAGCACUAAUGCACCGGAUCCCAUCAGAACUCCGCAGCUAAGCGUGCUUGGGCGAGAGUAGUACUAGGAUGGGUGACCUCCCGGGAAGUCCUCGUGUUGCACCCCUUUUAUUUUUUAAUUUUUUUUAGCCUAAAACGAGUCUAAACUUGAAAACCCCAUAACUUUUGAACCGUGAGAAACUACGUCGCCCAUAGCACCAUUUCGGAAAGCCCCAGAAACCAUAAUGGGCGGUGAAUAGGGGGCGCAAUUUUUCGGGCUCAAAUUCAGCCGUUUUGACCCUCAAACGGGCUGCGGAAAGUUAUGGCACGUAAAAAAGAUCGAAAGCGGAUUCUCAAGGUGUUUUGAUGCUUUCUUAACGCCGUUAACCUCGAUGCACUUUUUCGCUCGAAACAAAACGGCAAGAAAAUCAUGCGCGGCCCCACGGCCUUACACUUGGAUUGGCCGCGAAAAGGAUAUAUAGAAACGAGAGUGAUGUACUGACGGGUGCGAUCAUACCAGCACUAAUGCACCGGAUCCCAUCAGAACUCCGCAGUUAAGCGUGCUUGGGCGAGAGUAGUACUAGGAUGGGUGACCUCCCGGGAAGUCCUCGUGUUGCACCCCUUUUUAUUUUUAAUUUUUUUUUAGCCUAAAACGAGUCUAAACUUGAAAACCUCAUAACUUUUGAACCGUGAGGAACUACGUCGCCCAUAGCACCAUUUCGGAAAGCCCCAGAAACCAUAAUGGGCGGUGAAUAGGGGGCGCAAUUUUUCGGGCUCAAAUUCAGCCGUUUUGACCCUCAAACGGGCUGCGGAAAGUUAUGGCACGUAAAAAAGAUCGAAAGCGGAUUCUCAAGGUGUUUUUGAUGCUUUCUUAACGCCGUUAACCUCGAUGCACUUUUUCGCUCGAAACAAAACGGCAAGAAAAUCAUGCGCGCCCCACGGCCUUACACUUGGAUUGGCCGCGAAAAGGAUAUAUAGAAACGAGAGUGAUGUACUGACGGGUGCGAUCAUACCAGCACUAAUGCACCGGAUCCCAUCAGAACUCCGCAGUUAAGCGUGCUUGGGCGAGAGUAGUACUAGGAUGGGUGACCUCCCGGGAAGUCCUCGUGUUGCACCCCUUUUAUUUUUAAUUUUUUUUUAGCCUAAAACGAGUCUAAACUUGAAAACCUCAUAACUUUUGAACCGUGAGGAACUACGUCGCCCAUAGCACCAUUUCGGAAAGCCCCAGAAACCAUAAUGGGCGGUGAAUAGGGGGCGCAAUUUUUCGGGCUCAAAUUCAGCCGUUUUGACCCUCAAACGGGCUGCGGAAAGUUAUGGCACGUAAAAAAGAUCGAAAGCGGAUUCUCAAGGUGUUUUUGAUGCUUUCUUAACGCCGUUAACCUCGAUGCACUUUUUCGCUCGAAACAAAACGGCAAGAAAAUCAUGUGCGGCCCACGGCCUUACACUUGGAUUGGCCGCGAAAAGGAUAUAUAGAAACGAGAGUGAUGUACUGACGGGUGCGAUCAUACCAGCACUAAUGCACCGGAUCCCAUCAGAACUCCGCAGUGAAGCGUGCUUGGGCGAGAGUAGUACUAGGAUGGGUGACCUCCCGGGAAGUCCUCGUGUUGCACCCCUUUUUAUUUUUAUUUUUUUUUUAGCCUAAAACGAGUCUAAACUUGAAAACCUCAUAACUUUUGAACCGUGAGGAACUACGUCGCCCAUAGCACCAUUUCGGAAAGCCCCAGAAACCAUAAUGGGCGGUGAAUAGGGGGCGCAAUUUUUCGGGCUCAAAUUCAGCCGUUUUGACCCUCAAACGGGCUGCGGAAAGUUAUGGCACGUAAAAAAGAUCGAAAGCGGAUUCUCAAGGUGUUUUUGAUGCUUUCUUAACGCCGUUAACCUCGAUGCACUUUUUCGCUCGAAACAAAACGGCAAGAAAAUCAUGUGGGCCCCACGGCCUUACACUUGGAUUGGCCGGGGAAAGGAUAUAUAGAAACGAGAGUGAUGUACUGACGGGUGCGAUCAUACCAGCACUAAUGCACCGGAUCCCAUCAGAACUCCGCAGUGAAGCGUGCUUGGGCGAGAGUAGUACUAGGAUGGGUGACCUCCCGGGAAGUCCUCGUGUUGCACCCCUUUUUAUUUUAUAAUUUUUUUUUAGCCUAAAACGAGUCUAAACUUGAAAACCUCAUAACUUUUGAACCGUGAGGAACUACGUCGCCCAUAGCACCAUUGAGAAAGCCCCAGAAACCAUAAUGGGCGGUGAAUAGGGGGCGCAAUUUUUCGGGCUCAAAUUCAGCCGUUUUGACCCUCAAACGGGCUGCGGAAAGUUAUGGCACGUAAAAAAGAUCGAAAGCGGAUUCUCAAGGUGUUUUUGAUGCUUUCUUAACGCCGUUAACCUCGAUGCACUUUUUCGCUCGAAACAAAACGGCAAGAAAAUCAUGCGCGCCCCACGGCCUUACACUUGGAUUGGCCGCGAAAAGGAUAUAUAGAAACGAGAGUGAUGUACUGACGGGUGCGAUCAUACCAGCACUAAUGCACCGGAUCCCAUCAGAACUCCGCAGUUAAGCGUGCUUGGGCGAGAGUAGUAGUACUAGGAUGGGUGACCUCCCGGGAAGUCCUCGUGUUGCACCCCUUUUUAUUUUUUAAUUUUUUUUUAGCCUAAAACGAGUCUAAACUUGAAAACCUCAUAACUUUUGAACCGUGAGGAACUACGUCGCCCAUAGCACCAUUUCGGAAAGCCCCAGAAACCAUAAUGGGCGGUGAAUAGGGGGCGCAAUUUUUCGGGCUCAAAUUCAGCCGUUUUGACCCUCAAACGGGCUGCGGAAAGUUAUGGCACGUAAAAAAGAUCGAAAGCGGAUUCUCAAGGUGUUUUUGAUGCUUUCUUAACGCCGUUAACCUCGAUGCACUUUUUCGCUCGAAACAAAACGGCAAGAAAAUCAUGCGCGCCCACGGCCUUACACUUGGAUUGGCCGCGAAAAGGAUAUAUAGAAACGAGAGUGAUGUACUGACGGGUGCGAUCAUACCAGCACUAAUGCACCGGAUCCCAUCAGAACUCCGCAGCUAAGCGUGCUUGGGCGAGAGUAGUACUAGGAUGGGUGACCUCCCGGGAAGUCCUCGUGUUGCACCCCUUUUAUUUUUUAAUUUUUUUUUAGCCUAAAACGAGUCUAAACUUGAAAACCCCAUAACUUUUGAACCGUGAGGAACUACGUCGCCCAUAGCACCAUUUCGGAAAGCCCCAGAAACCAUAAUGGGCGGUGAAUAGGGGGCGCAAUUUUUCGGGCUCAAAUUCAGCCGUUUUGACCCUCAAACGGGCUGCGGAAAGUUAUGGCACGUAAAAAAGAUCGAAAGCGGAUUCUCAAGGUGUUUUUGAUGCUUUCUUAACGCCGUUAACCUCGAUGCACUUUUUCGCUCGAAACAAAACGGCAAGAAAAUCAUGCGCGCCCCACGGCCUUACACUUGGAUUGGCCGCGAAAAGGAUAUAUAGAAACGAGAGUGAUGUACUGACGGGUGCGAUCAUACCAGCACUAAUGCACCGGAUCCCAUCAGAACUCCGCAGUUAAGCGUGCUUGGGCGAGAGUAGUACUAGGAUGGGUGACCUCCCGGGAAGUCCUCGUGUUGCACCCCUUUUUAUUUUUUAAUUUUUUUUUAGCCUAAAACGAGUCUAAACUUGAAAACCUCAUAACUUUUGAACCGUGAGGAACUACGUCGCCCAUAGCACCAUUUCGGAGAGCCCCAGAAACCAUAAUGGGCGGUGAAUAGGGGGGGCGCAAUUUUUCGGGCUCAAAUUCAGCCGUUUUGACCCUCAAACGGGCUGCGGAAAGUUAUGGCACGUAAAAAAGAUCGAAAGCGGAUUCUCAAGGUGUUUUUGAUGCUUUCUUAACGCCGUUAACCUCGAUGCACUUUUUCGCUCGAAACAAAACGGCAAGAAAAUCAUGCGCGCCCCACGGCCUUACACUUGGAUUGGCCGCGAAAAGGAUAUAUAGAAACGAGAGUGAUGUACUGACGGGUGCGAUCAUACCAGCACUAAUGCACCGGAUCCCAUCAGAACUCCGCAGUUAAGCGUGCUUGGGCGAGAGUAGUACUAGGAUGGGUGACCUCCCGGGAAGUCCUCGUGUUGCACCCCUUUUUAUUUUUAAUUUUUUUUUAGCCUAAAACGAGUCUAAACUUGAAAACCUCAUAACUUUUGAACCGUGAGGAACUACGUCGCCCAUAGCACCAUUUCGGAGAGCCCCAGAAACCAUAAUGGGCGGUGAAUAGGGGGCGCAAUUUUUCGGGCUCAAAUUCAGCCGUUUUGACCCUCAAACGGGCUGCGGAAAGUUAUGGCACGUAAAAAAGAUCGAAAGCGGAUUCUCAAGGUGUUUUUGAUGCUUUCUUAACGCCGUUAACCUCGAUGCACUUUUUCGCUCGAAACAAAACGGCAAGAAAAUCAUGCGCGCCCCACGGCCUUACACUUGGAUUGGCCGCGAAAAGGAUAUAUAGAAACGAGAGUGAUGUACUGACGGGUGCGAUCAUACCAGCACUAAUGCACCGGAUCCCAUCAGAACUCCGCAGUUAAGCGUGCUUGGGCGAGAGUAGUACUAGGAUGGGUGACCUCCCGGGAAGUCCUCGUGUUGCACCCCUUUUUAUUUUUUAAUUUUUUUUAGCCUAAAACGAGUCUAAACUUGAAAACCUCAUAACUUUUGAACCGUGAGGAACUACGUCGCCCAUAGCACCAUUUCGGAGAGCCCCAGAAACCAUAAUGGGCGGUGAAUAGGGGGCGCAAUUUUUCGGGCUCAAAUUCAGCCGUUUUGACCCUCAAACGGGCUGCGGAAAGUUAUGGCACGUAAAAAAGAUCGAAAGCGGAUUCUCAAGGUGUUUUUGAUGCUUUCUUAACGCCGUUAACCUCGAUGCACUUUUUCGCUCGAAACAAAACGGCAAGAAAAUCAUGCGCGCCCCACGGCCUUACACUUGGAUUGGCCGCGAAAAGGAUAUAUAGAAACGAGAGUGAUGUACUGACGGGUGCGAUCAUACCAGCACUAAUGCACCGGAUCCCAUCAGAACUCCGCAGUUAAGCGUGCUUGGGCGAGAGUAGUACUAGGAUGGGUGACCUCCGGGAAGUCCUCGUGUUGCACCCCUUUUUAUUUUUUAAUUUUUUUUAGCCUAAAACGAGUCUAAACUUGAAAACCUCAUAACUUUUGAACCGUGAGGAACUACGUCGCCCAUAGCACCAUUUCGGAGAGCCCCAGAAACCAUAAUGGGCGGUGAAUAGGGGGCGCAAUUUUUCGGGCUCAAAUUCAGCCGUUUUGACCCUCAAACGGGCUGCGGAAAGUUAUGGCACGUAAAAAAGAUCGAAAGCGGAUUCUCAAGGUGUUUUUGAUGCUUUCUUAACGCCGUUAACCUCGAUGCACUUUUUCGCUCGAAACAAAACGGCAAGAAAAUCAUGCGCGCCCCACGGCCUUACACUUGGAUUGGCCGCGAAAAGGAUAUAUAGAAACGAGAGUGAUGUACUGACGGGUGCGAUCAUACCAGCACUAAUGCACCGGAUCCCAUCAGAACUCCGCAGUUAAGCGUGCUUGGGCGAGAGUAGUACUAGGAUGGGUGACCUCCCGGGAAGUCCUCGUGUUGCACCCCUUUUUAUUUUUUAAUUUUUUUUUGCCUAAAACGAGUCUAAACUUGAAAACCUCAUAACUUUUGAACCGUGAGGAACUACGUCGCCCAUAGCACCAUUUCGGAGAGCCCCAGAAACCAUAAUGGGCGGUGAAUAGGGGGCGCAAUUUUUCGGGCUCAAAUUCAGCCGUUUUGACCCUCAAACGGGCUGCGGAAAGUUAUGGCACGUAAAAAAGAUCGAAAGCGGAUUCUCAAGGUGUUUUUGAUGCUUUCUUAACGCCGUUAACCUCGAUGCACUUUUUCGCUCGAAACAAAACGGCAAGAAAAUCAUGCGCGCCCCACGGCCUUACACUUGGAUUGGCCGCGAAAAGGAUAUAUAGAAACGAGAGUGAUGUACUGACGGGUGCGAUCAUACCAGCACUAAUGCACCGGAUCCCAUCAGAACUCCGCAGUUAAGCGUGCUUGGGCGAGAGUAGUACUAGGAUGGGUGACCUCCCGGGAAGUCCUCGUGUUGCACCCCUUUUUAUUUUUUAAUUUUUUUUUAGCCUAAAACGAGUCUAAACUUGAAAACCUCAUAACUUUUGAACCGUGAGGAACUACGUCGCCCAUAGCACCAUUUCGGAAAGCCCCAGAAACCAUAAUGGGCGGUGAAUAGGGGGCGCAAUUUUUCGGGCUCAAAUUCAGCCCGUUUUGACCCUCAAACGGGCUGCGGAAAGUUAUGGCACGUAAAAAAGAUCGAAAGCGGAUUCUCAAGGUGUUUUUGAUGCUUUCUUAACGCCGUUAACCUCGAUGCACUUUUUCGCUCGAAACAAAACGGCAAGAAAAUCAUGCGCGCCCCACGGCCUUACACUUGGAUUGGCCGCGAAAAGGAUAUAUAGAAACGAGAGUGAUGUACUGACGGGUGCGAUCAUACCAGCACUAAUGCACCGGAUCCCAUCAGAACUCCGCAGUUAAGCGUGCUUGGGCGAGAGUAGUACUAGGAUGGGUGACCUCCCGGGAAGUCCUCGUGUUGCACCCCUUUUUAUUUUUUAAUUUUUUUUAGCCUAAAACGAGUCUAAACUUGAAAACCUCAUAACUUUUGAACCGUGAGGAACUACGUCGCCCAUAGCACCAUUUCGGAGCCCCAGAAACCAUAAUGGGCGGGUGAAUAGGGGGCGCAAUUUUUCGGGCUCAAAUUCAGCCGUUUUGACCCUCAAACGGGCUGCGGAAAGUUAUGGCACGUAAAAAAGAUCGAAAGCGGAUUCUCAAGGUGUUUUUGAUGCUUUCUUAACGCCGUUAACCUCGAUGCACUUUUUCGCUCGAAACAAAACGGCAAGAAAAUCAUGCGCGCCCCACGGCCUUACACUUGGAUUGGCCGCGAAAAGGAUAUAUAGAAACGAGAGUGAUGUACUGACGGGUGCGAUCAUACCAGCACUAAUGCACCGGAUCCCAUCAGAACUCCGCAGUUAAGCGUGCUUGGGCGAGAGUAGUACUAGGAUGGGUGACCUCCCGGGAAGUCCUCGUGUUGCACCCCUUUUUAUUUUUUAAUUUUUUUUUAGCCUAAAACGAGUCUAAACUUGAAAACCUCAUAACUUUUGAACCGUGAGGAACUACGUCGCCCAUAGCACCAUUUCGGAGAGCCCCAGAAACCAUAAUGGGCGGUGAAUAGGGGGCGCAAUUUUUCGGGCUCAAAUUCAGCCGUUUUGACCCUCAAACGGGCUGCGGAAAGUUAUGGCACGUAAAAAAGAUCGAAAGCGGAUUCUCAAGGUGUUUUUGAUGCUUUCUUAACGCCGUUAACCUCGAUGCACUUUUUCGCUCGAAACAAAACGGCAAGAAAAUCAUGCGCGCCCCACGGCCUUACACUUGGAUUGGCCGCGAAAAGGAUAUAUAGAAACGAGAGUGAUGUACUGACGGGUGCGAUCAUACCAGCACUAAUGCACCGGAUCCCAUCAGAACUCCGCAGUUAAGCGUGCUUGGGCGAGAGUAGUACUAGGAUGGGUGACCUCCCGGGAAGUCCUCGUGUUGCACCCCUUUUUAUUUUUUAAUUUUUUUUUAGCCUAAAACGAGUCUAAACUUGAAAACCUCAUAACUUUUGAACCGUGAGGAACUACGUCGCCCAUAGCACCAUUUCGGAGAGCCCCAGAAACCAUAAUGGGCGGUGAAUAGGGGGCGCAAUUUUUCGGGCUCAAAUUCAGCCGUUUUGACCCUCAAACGGGCUGCGGAAAGUUAUGGCACGUAAAAAAGAUCGAAAGCGGAUUCUCAAGGUGUUUUUGAUGCUUUCUUAACGCCGUUAACCUCGAUGCACUUUUUCGCUCGAAACAAAACGGCAAGAAAAUCAUGCGCGCCCCACGGCCUUACACUUGGAUUGGCCGCGAAAAGGAUAUAUAGAAACGAGAGUGAUGUACUGACGGGUGCGAUCAUACCAGCACUAAUGCACCGGAUCCCAUCAGAACUCCGCAGUUAAGCGUGCUUGGGCGAGAGUAGUACUAGGAUGGGUGACCUCCCGGGAAGUCCUCGUGUUGCACCCCUUUUUUAUUUUUUAAUUUUUUUUAGCCUAAAACGAGUCUAAACUUGAAAACCUCAUAACUUUUGAACCGUGAGGAACUACGUCGCCCAUAGCACCAUUUCGGAAAGCCCCAGAAACCAUAAUGGGCGGUGAAUAGGGGGCGCAAUUUUUCGGGCUCAAAUUCAGCCGUUUUGACCCUCAAACGGGCUGCGGAAAGUUAUGGCACGUAAAAAAGAUCGAAAGCGGAUUCUCAAGGUGUUUUUGAUGCUUUCUUAACGCCGUUAACCUCGAUGCACUUUUUCGCUCGAAACAAAACGGCAAGAAAAUCAUGCGCGCCCCACGGCCUUACACUUGGAUUGGCCGCGAAAAGGAUAUAUAGAAACGAGAGUGAUGUACUGACGGGUGCGAUCAUACCAGCACUAAUGCACCGGAUCCCAUCAGAACUCCGCAGUUAAGCGUGCUUGGGCGAGAGUAGUACUAGGAUGGGUGACCUCCCGGGAAGUCCUCGUGUUGCACCCCUUUUUUUUUUUAAUUUUUUUUUAGCCUAAAACGAGUCUAAACUUGAAAACCUCAUAACUUUUGAACCGUGAGGAACUACGUCGCCCAUAGCACCAUUUCGGAGAGCCCCAGAAACCAUAAUGGGCGGUGAAUAGGGGGCGCAAUUUUUCGGGCUCAAAUUCAGCCGUUUUGACCCUCAAACGGGCUGCGGAAAGUUAUGGCACGUAAAAAAGAUCGAAAGCGGAUUCUCAAGGUGUUUUGAUGCUUUCUUAACGCCGUUAACCUCGAUGCACUUUUUCGCUCGAAACAAAACGGCAAGAAAAUCAUGUGGGCCCCACGGCCUUACACUUGGAUUGGCCGCGAAAAGGAUAUAUAGAAACGAGAGUGAUGUACUGACGGGUGCGAUCAUACCAGCACUAAUGCACCGGAUCCCAUCAGAACUCCGCAGUUAAGCGUGCUUGGGCGAGAGUAGUACUAGGAUGGGUGACCUCCCGGGAAGUCCUCGUGUUGCACCCCUUUUUAUUUUUUAAUUUUUUUUUAGCCUAAAACGAGUCUAAACUUGAAAACCUCAUAACUUUUGAACCGUGAGGAACUACGUCGCCCAUAGCACCAUUUCGGAGAGCCCCAGAAACCAUAAUGGGGCGGUGAAUAGGGGGCGCAAUUUUUCGGGCUCAAAUUCAGCCGUUUUGACCCUCAAACGGGCUGCGGAAAGUUAUGGCACGUAAAAAAGAUCGAAAGCGGAUUCUCAAGGUGUUUUUGAUGCUUUCUUAACGCCGUUAACCUCGAUGCACUUUUUCGCUCGAAACAAAACGGCAAGAAAAUCAUGCGCGCCCCACGGCCUUACACUUGGAUUGGCCGCGAAAAGGAUAUAUAGAAACGAGAGUGAUGUACUGACGGGUGCGAUCAUACCAGCACUAAUGCACCGGAUCCCAUCAGAACUCCGCAGUUAAGCGUGCUUGGGCGAGAGUAGUACUAGGAUGGGUGACCUCCCGGGAAGUCCUCGUGUUGCACCCCUUUUUAUUUUUUAUUUUUUUUUUAGCCUAAAACGAGUCUAAACUUGAAAACCUCAUAACUUUUGAACCGUGAGGAACUACGUCGCCCAUAGCACCAUUUCGGAAGAGCCCCAGAAACCAUAAUGGGCGGUGAAUAGGGGGCGCAAUUUUUCGGGCUCAAAUUCAGCCGUUUUGACCCUCAAACGGGCUGCGGAAAGUUAUGGCACGUAAAAAAGAUCGAAAGCGGAUUCUCAAGGUGUUUUUGAUGCUUUCUUAACGCCGUUAACCUCGAUGCACUUUUUCGCUCGAAACAAAACGGCAAGAAAAUCAUGCGCGCCCCACGGCCUUACACUUGGAUUGGCCGCGAAAAGGAUAUAUAGAAACGAGAGUGAUGUACUGACGGGUGCGAUCAUACCAGCACUAAUGCACCGGAUCCCAUCAGAACUCCGCAGCUAAGCGUGCUUGGGCGAGAGUAGUACUAGGAUGGGUGACCUCCCGGGAAGUCCUCGUGUUGCACCCCUUUUUAUUUUUUAAUUUUUUUUUUUGCCUAAAACGAGUCUAAACUUGAAAACCUCAUAACUUUUGAACCGUGAGGAACUACGUCGCCCAUAGCACCAUUUCGGAGAGCCCCAGAAACCAUAAUGGGCGGUGAAUAGGGGGCGCAAUUUUUCGGGCUCAAAUUCAGCCGUUUUGACCCUCAAACGGGCUGCGGAAAGUUAUGGCACGUAAAAAAGAUCGAAAGCGGAUUCUCAAGGUGUUUUUGAUGCUUUCUUAACGCCGUUAACCUCGAUGCACUUUUUCGCUCGAAACAAAACGGCAAGAAAAUCAUGCGCGCCCCACGGCCUUACACUUGGAUUGGCCGCGAAAAGGAUAUAUAGAAACGAGAGUGAUGUACUGACGGGUGCGAUCAUACCAGCACUAAUGCACCGGAUCCCAUCAGAACUCCGCAGUUAAGCGUGCUUGGGCGAGAGUAGUACUAGGAUGGGUGACCUCCCGGGAAGUCCUCGUGUUGCACCCCUUUUUAUUUUUUAAUUUUUUUUUAGCCUAAAACGAGUCUAAACUUGAAAACCUCAUAACUUUUGAACCGUGAGGAACUACGUCGCCCAUAGCACCAUUUCGGAGAGCCCCAGAAACCAUAAUGGGCGGUGAAUAGGGGGCGCAAUUUUUCGGGCUCAAAUUCAGCCGUUUUGACCCUCAAACGGGCUGCGGAAAGUUAUGGCACGUAAAAAAGAUCGAAAGCGGAUUCUCAAGGUGUUUUUGAUGCUUUCUUAACGCCGUUAACCUCGAUGCACUUUUUCGCUCGAAACAAAACGGCAAGAAAAUCAUGCGCGCCCCACGGCCUUACACUUGGAUUGGCCGCGAAAAGGAUAUAUAGAAACGAGAGUGAUGUACUGACGGGUGCGAUCAUACCAGCACUAAUGCACCGGAUCCCAUCAGAACUCCGCAGUUAAGCGUGCUUGGGCGAGAGUAGUACUAGGAUGGGUGACCUCCCGGGAAGUCCUCGUGUUGCACCCCUUUUUAUUUUUUAAUUUUUUUUAGCCUAAAACGAGUCUAAACUUGAAAACCUCAUAACUUUUGAACCGUGAGGAACUACGUCGCCCAUAGCACCAUUUCGGAGAGCCCCAGAAACCAUAAUGGGCGGUGAAUAGGGGGCGCAAUUUUUCGGGCUCAAAUUCAGCCGUUUUGACCCUCAAACGGGCUGCGGAAAGUUAUGGCACGUAAAAAAGAUCGAAAGCGGAUUCUCAAGGUGUUUUUGAUGCUUUCUUAACGCCGUUAACCUCGAUGCACUUUUUCGCUCGAAACAAAACGGCAAGAAAAUCAUGCGCGCCCACGGCCUUACACUUGGAUUGGCCGCGAAAAGGAUAUAUAGAAACGAGAGUGAUGUACUGACGGGUGCGAUCAUACCAGCACUAAUGCACCGGAUCCCAUCAGAACUCCGCAGUAAGCGUGCUUGGGCGAGAGUAGUACUAGGAUGGGUGACCUCCCGGGAAGUCCUCGUGUUGCACCCCUUUUUAUUUUUUAAUUUUUUUUUAGCCUAAAACGAGUCUAAACUUGAAAACCUCAUAACUUUUGAACCGUGAGGAACUACGUCGCCCAUAGCACCAUUUCGGAGAGCCCCAGAAACCAUAAUGGGCGGUGAAUAGGGGGCGCAAUUUUUCGGGCUCAAAUUCAGCCGUUUUGACCCUCAAACGGGCUGCGGAAAGUUAUGGCACGUAAAAAAGAUCGAAAGCGGAUUCUCAAGGUGUUUUUGAUGCUUUCUUAACGCCGUUAACCUCGAUGCACUUUUUCGCUCGAAACAAAACGGCAAGAAAAUCAUGCGCGCCCCACGGCCUUACACUUGGAUUGGCCGCGAAAAGGAUAUAUAGAAACGAGAGUGAUGUACUGACGGGUGCGAUCAUACCAGCACUAAUGCACCGGAUCCCAUCAGAACUCCGCAGUUAAGCGUGCUUGGGCGAGAGUAGUACUAGGAUGGGUGACCUCCCGGGAAGUCCUCGUGUUGCACCCCUUUUUAUUUUUAAUUUUUUUUUAGCCUAAAACGAGUCUAAACUUGAAAACCUCAUAACUUUUGAACCGUGAGGAACUACGUCGCCCAUAGCACCAUUUCGGAAAGCCCCAGAAACCAUAAUGGGCGGUGAAUAGGGGGCGCAAUUUUUCGGGCUCAAAUUCAGCCGUUUUGACCCUCAAACGGGCUGCGGAAAGUUAUGGCACGUAAAAAAGAUCGAAAGCGGAUUCUCAAGGUGUUUUUGAUGCUUUCUUAACGCCGUUAACCUCGAUGCACUUUUUCGCUCGAAACAAAACGGCAAGAAAAUCAUGCGCGCCCCACGGCCUUACACUUGGAUUGGCCGCGAAAAGGAUAUAUAGAAACGAGAGUGAUGUACUGACGGGUGCGAUCAUACCAGCACUAAUGCACCGGAUCCCAUCAGAACUCCGCAGUUAAGCGUGCUUGGCGCGAGAGUAGUACUAGGAUGGGUGACCUCCCGGGAAGUCCUCGUGUUGCACCCCUUUUUAUUUUUUAAUUUUUUUUUGCCUAAAACGAGUCUAAACUUGAAAACCUCAUAACUUUUGAACCGUGAGGAACUACGUCGCCCAUAGCACCAUUUCGGAGAGCCCCAGAAACCAUAAUGGGCGGUGAAUAGGGGGCGCAAUUUUUCGGGCUCAAAUUCAGCCGUUUUGACCCUCAAACGGGCUGCGGAAAGUUAUGGCACGUAAAAAAGAUCGAAAGCGGAUUCUCAAGGUGUUUUUGAUGCUUUCUUAACGCCGUUAACCUCGAUGCACUUUUUCGCUCGAAACAAAACGGCAAGAAAAUCAUGCGCGCCCACGGCCUUACACUUGGAUUGGCCGCGAAAAGGAUAUAUAGAAACGAGAGUGAUGUACUGACGGGUGCGAUCAUACCAGCACUAAUGCACCGGAUCCCAUCAGAACUCCGCAGUUAAGCGUGCUUGGGCGAGAGUAGUACUAGGAUGGGUGACCUCCCGGGAAGUCCUCGUGUUGCACCCCUUUUAUUUUUUAAUUUUUUUUUGCCUAAAACGAGUCUAAACUUGAAAACCUCAUAACUUUUGAACCGUGAGGAACUACGUCGCCCAUAGCACCAUUUCGGAGAGCCCCAGAAACCAUAAUGGGCGGGUGAAUAGGGGGCGCAAUUUUUCGGGCUCAAAUUCAGCCGUUUUGACCCUCAAACGGGCUGCGGAAAGUUAUGGCACGUAAAAAAGAUCGAAAGCGGAUUCUCAAGGUGUUUUUGAUGCUUUCUUAACGCCGUUAACCUCGAUGCACUUUUUCGCUCGAAACAAAACGGCAAGAAAAUCAUGCGCGCCCCACGGCCUUACACUUGGAUUGGCCGCGAAAAGGAUAUAUAGAAACGAGAGUGAUGUACUGACGGGUGCGAUCAUACCAGCACUAAUGCACCGGAUCCCAUCAGAACUCCGCAGUUAAGCGUGCUUGGGCGAGAGUAGUACUAGGAUGGGUGACCUCCCGGGAAGUCCUCGUGUUGCACCCCUUUUUUUUUAAAUUUUUUUUUAGCCUAAAACGAGUCUAAACUUGAAAACCUCAUAACUUUUGAACCGUGAGGAACUACGUCGCCCAUAGCACCAUUUCGGAGAGCCCCAGAAACCAUAAUGGGCGGGGAAUAGGGGGCGCAAUUUUUCGGGCUCAAAUUCAGCCGUUUUGACCCUCAAACGGGCUGCGGAAAGUUAUGUCACGUAAAAAAGAUCGAAAGCGGAUUCUCAAGGUGUUUUUGAUGCUUUCUUAACGCCGUUAACCUCGAUGCACUUUUUCGCUCGAAACAAAACGGCAAGAAAAUCAUGCGCGCCCCACGGCCUUACACUUGGAUUGGCCGCGAAAAGGAUAUAUAGAAACGAGAGUGAUGUACUGACGGGUGCGAUCAUACCAGCACUAAUGCACCGGAUCCCAUCAGAACUCCGCAGUUAAGCGUGCUUGGGCGAGAGUAGUACUAGGAUGGGUGACCUCCCGGGAAGUCCUCGUGUUGCACCCCUUUUUAUUUUUUAAUUUUUUUUUGCCUAAAACGAGUCUAAACUUGAAAACCUCAUAACUUUUGAACCGUGAGGAACUACGUCGCCCAUAGCACCAUUUCGGAGAGCCCCAGAAACCAUAAUGGGCGGUGAAUAGGGGGCGCAAUUUUUCGGGCUCAAAUUCAGCCGUUUUGACCCUCAAACGGGCUGCGGAAAGUUAUGGCACGUAAAAAAGAUCGAAAGCGGAUUCUCAAGGUGUUUUUGAUGCUUUCUUAACGCCGUUAACCUCGAUGCACUUUUUCGCUCGAAACAAAACGGCAAGAAAAUCAUGCGCGCCCCACGGCCUUACACUUGGAUUGGCCGCGAAAAGGAUAUAUAGAAACGAGAGUGAUGUACUGACGGGUGCGAUCAUACCAGCACUAAUGCACCGGAUCCCAUCAGAACUCCGCAGUUAAGCGUGCUUGGGCGAGAGUAGUACUAGGAUGGGUGACCUCCCGGGAAGUCCUCGUGUUGCACCCCUUUUUUUUUUUAAUUUUUUUUUAGCCUAAAACGAGUCUAAACUUGAAAACCUCAUAACUUUUGAACCGUGAGGAACUACGUCGCCCAUAGCACCAUUUCGGAGAGCCCCAGAAACCAUAAUGGGCGGUGAAUAGGGGGCGCAAUUUUUCGGGCUCAAAUUCAGCCGUUUUGACCCUCAAACGGGCUGCGGAAAGUUAUGGCACGUAAAAAAGAUCGAAAGCGGAUUCUCAAGGUGUUUUUGAUGCUUUCUUAACGCCGUUAACCUCGAUGCACUUUUUCGCUCGAAACAAAACGGCAAGAAAAUCAUGCGCGCCCCACGGCCUUACACUUGGAUUGGCCGCGAAAAGGAUAUAUAGAAACGAGAGUGAUGUACUGACGGGUGCGAUCAUACCAGCACUAAUGCACCGGAUCCCAUCAGAACUCCGCAGUUAAGCGUGCUUGGGCGAGAGUAGUACUAGGAUGGGUGACCUCCCGGGAAGUCCUCGUGUUGCACCCCUUUUUAUUUUUUAAUUUUUUUUUAGCCUAAAACGAGUCUAAACUUGAAAACCUCAUAACUUUUGAACCGUGAGGAACUACGUCGCCCAUAGCACCAUUUCGGAAGCCCAGAAACCAUAAUGGGCGGUGAAUAGGGGGCGCAAUUUUUCGGGCUCAAAUUCAGCCGUUUUGACCCUCAAACGGGCUGCGGAAAGUUAUGGCACGUAAAAAAGAUCGAAAGCGGAUUCUCAAGGUGUUUUUGAUGCUUUCUUAACGCCGUUAACCUCGAUGCACUUUUUCGCUCGAAACAAAACGGCAAGAAAAUCAUGCGCGCCCCACGGCCUUACACUUGGAUUGGCCGCGAAAAGGAUAUAUAGAAACGAGAGUGAUGUACUGACGGGUGCGAUCAUACCAGCACUAAUGCACCGGAUCCCAUCAGAACUCCGCAGUUAAGCGUGCUUGGGCGAGAGUAGUACUAGGAUGGGUGACCUCCCGGGAAGUCCUCGUGUUGCACCCCUUUUUAUUUUUUAAUUUUUUUUUAGCCUAAAACGAGUCUAAACUUGAAAACCUCAUAACUUUUGAACCGUGAGGAACUACGUCGCCCAUAGCACCAUUUCGGAAGCCCCAGAAACCAUAAUGGGCGGUGAAUAGGGGGCGCAAUUUUUCGGGCUCAAAUUCAGCCGUUUUGACCCUCAAACGGGCUGCGGAAAGUUAUGGCACGUAAAAAAGAUCGAAAGCGGAUUCUCAAGGUUGUUUUGAUGCUUUCUUAACGCCGUUAACCUCGAUGCACUUUUUCGCUCGAAACAAAACGGCAAGAAAAUCAUGCGCGCCCCACGGCCUUACACUUGGAUUGGCCGCGAAAAGGAUAUAUAGAAACGAGAGUGAUGUACUGACGGGUGCGAUCAUACCAGCACUAAUGCACCGGAUCCCAUCAGAACUCCGCAGUUAAGCGUGCUUGGGCGAGAGUAGUACUAGGAUGGGUGACCUCCCGGGAAGUCCUCGUGUUGCACCCCUUUUUAUUUUUUAAUUUUUUUUUAGCCUAAAACGAGUCUAAACUUGAAAACCUCAUAACUUUUGAACCGUGAGGAACUACGUCGCCCAUAGCACCAUUUCGGAAGCCCCAGAAACCAUAAUGGGCGGUGAAUAGGGGGCGCAAUUUUUCGGGCUCAAAUUCAGCCGUUUUGACCCUCAAACGGGCUGCGGAAAGUUAUGGCACGUAAAAAAGAUCGAAAGCGGAUUCUCAAGGUGUUUUUGAUGCUUUCUUAACGCCGUUAACCUCGAUGCACUUUUUCGCUCGAAACAAAACGGCAAGAAAAUCAUGCGCGCCCCACGGCCUUACACUUGGAUUGGCCGCGAAAAGGAUAUAUAGAAACGAGAGUGAUGUACUGACGGGUGCGAUCAUACCAGCACUAAUGCACCGGAUCCCAUCAGAACUCCGCAGUUAAGCGUGCUUGGGCGAGAGUAGUACUAGGAUGGGUGACCUCCCGGGAAGUCCUCGUGUUGCACACCUUUUUAUUUUAUAAUUUUUUUUAGCCUAAAACGAGUCUAAACAUGAAAACCUCAUAAAUUUUGAACCGUGAGGAACUACGUCGCCCAUAGCACCAUUGAAAAAGCCCCAGAAACCAUAAUGGGCGGUGAAUAGGGGGCGCAAUGUUUCGGGCUGAAAUUCAGCCGUUUUGACCCUCAAACGGGCUGCGGAAAGUUAUGGCACGUAAAAAAGAUCGAAAGCGGAUUCUCAAGGUGUUUUUGAUGCUUUCUUAACGCCGUUAACCUCGAUGCACUUUUUCGCUCGAAACAAAACGGCAAGAAAAUCAUGCGCGCCCCACGGCCUUACACUUGGAUUGGCCGCGAAAAGGAUAUAUAGAAACGAGAGUGAUGUACUGACGGGUGCGAUCAUACCAGCACUAAUGCACCGGAUCCCAUCAGAACUCCGCAGUUAAGCGUGCUUGGGCGAGAGUAGUACUAGGAUGGGUGACCUCCCGGGAAGUCCUCGUGUUGCACCCCUUUUUAUUUUUUAAUUUUUUUUUAGCCUAAAACGAGUCUAAACUUGAAAACCUCAUAACUUUUGAACCUUGAGGAACUACGUCGCCCAUAGCACCAUUUCGGAAAGCCCCAUAAAACCAUAAUGGGCGGUGAAUAGGGGGCGCAAUUUUUCGGGCUCAAAUUCAGCCGUUUUGACCCUCAAACGGGCUGCGGAAAGUUAUGGCACGUAAAAAAGAUCGAAAGCGGAUUUUCAAGGUGUUUUUGAUGCUUUCUUAACGCCGUUAACCUCGAUGCACUUUUUCGCUCGAAACAAAACGGCAAGAAAAUCAUGCGCGCCCCACGGCCUUACACUUGGAUUGGCCGCGAAAAGGAUAUAUAGAAACGAGAGUGAUGUACUGACGGGUGCGAUCAUACCAGCACUAAUGCACCGGAUCCCAUCAGAACUCCGCAGUUAAGCGUGCUUGGGCGAGAGAGUAGUACUAGGAUGGGUGACCUCCCGGGAAGUCCUCGUGUUGCACCCCUUUUUAUUUUUUAAUUUUUUUUUAGCCUAAAACGAGUCUAAACUUGAAAACCUCAUAACUUUUGAACCGUGAGGAACUACGUCGCCCAUAGCACCAUUUCGGAGAGCCCCAGAAACCAUAAUGGGCGGUGAAUAGGGGGCGCAAUUUUUCGGGCUCAAAUUCAGCCGUUUUGACCCUCAAACGGGCUGCGGAAAGUUAUGGCACGUAAAAAAGAUCGAAAGCGGAUUCUCAAGGUGUUUUUGAUGCUUUCUUAACGCCGUUAACCUCGAUGCACUUUUUCGCUCGAAACAAAACGGCAAAAAAAAUCAUGUGGGCCCCACGGCCUUACACUUGGAUUGGCCGCGAAAAGGAUAUAUAGAAACGAGAGUGAUGUACUGACGGGUGCGAUCAUACCAGCACUAAUGCACCGGAUCCCAUCAGAACUCCGCAGUUAAGCGUGCUUGGGCGAGAGUAGUACUAGGAUGGGUGACCUCCCGGGAAGUCCUCGUGUUGCACCCCUUUUUAUUUUUUAAUUUUUUUUUUUGCCUAAAACGAGUCUAAACUUGAAAACCUCAUAACUUUUGAACCGUGAGGAACUACGUCGCCCAUAGCACCAUUUCGGAAAGCCCCAGAAACCAUAAUGGGCGGUGAAUAGGGGGCGCAAUUUUUCGGGCUCAAAUUCAGCCGUUUUGACCCUCAAACGGGCUGCGGAAAGUUAUGGCACGUAAAAAAGAUCGAAAGCGGAUUCUCAAGGUGUUUUGAUGCUUUCUUAACGCCGUUAACCUCGAUGCACUUUUUCGCUCGAAACAAAACGGCAAGAAAAUCAUGCGCGCCCCACGGCCUUACACUUGGAUUGGCCGCGAAAAGGAUAUAUAGAAACGAGAGUGAUGUACUGACGGGUGCGAUCAUACCAGCACUAAUGCACCGGAUCCCAUCAGAACUCCGCAGUUAAGCGUGCUUGGGCGAGAGUAGUACUAGGAUGGGUGACCUCCCGGGAAGUCCUUGUGUUGCACCCCUUUUAAUUUUUUAAUUUUUUUUUAGCCUAAAACGAGUCUAAACUUGAAAACCUCAUAACUUUUGAACCGUGAGGAACUACGUCGCCCAUAGCACCAUUUCGGAGAGCCCCAGAAACCAUAAUGGGCGGUGAAUAGGGGCGCAAUUUUUCGGGCUCAAAUUCAGCCGUUUUGACCCUCAAACGGGCUGCGGAAAGUUAUGGCACGUAAAAAAGAUCGAAAGCGGAUUCUCAAGGUGCUUUUGAUGCUUUCUUAACGCCGUUAACCUCGAUGCACUUUUUCGCUCGAAACAAAACGGCAAGAAAAUCAUGCGCGCCCCACGGCCUUACACUUGGAUUGGCCGCGAAAAGGAUAUAUAGAAACGAGAGUGAUGUACUGACGGGUGCGAUCAUACCAGCACUAAUGCACCGGAUCCCAUCAGAACUCCGCAGUUAAGCGUGCUUGGGCGAGAGUAGUACUAGGAUGGGUGACCUCCCGGGAAGUCCUCGUGUUGCACCCCUUUUAUUUUUUAAUUUUUUUUUGCCUAAAACGAGUCUAAACUUGAAAACCUCAUAACUUUUGAACCGUGAGGAACUACGUCGCCCAUAGCACCAUUUCGGAGAGCCCCAGAAACCAUAAUGGGCGGUGAAUAGGGGGCGCAAUUUUUCGGGCUCAAAUUCAGCCGUUUUGACCCUCAAACGGGCUGCGGGGAAAGUUAUGGCACGUAAAAAAGAUCGAAAGCGGAUUCUCAAGGUGCUUUUGAUGCUUUCUUAACGCCGUUAACCUCGAUGCACUUUUUCGCUCGAAACAAAACGGCAAGAAAAUCAUGCGCGCCCCACGGCCUUACACUUGGAUUGGCCGCGAAAAGGAUAUAUAGAAACGAGAGUGAUGUACUGACGGGUGCGAUCAUACCAGCACUAAUGCACCGGAUCCCAUCAGAACUCCGCAGUAAGCGUGCUUGGGCGAGAGUAGUACUAGGAUGGGUGACCUCCCGGGAAGUCCUCGUGUUGCACCCCUUUUUAUUUUUUAAUUUUUUUUUAGCCUAAAACGAGUCUAAACUUGAAAACCUCAUAACUUUUGAACCGUGAGGAACUACGUCGCCCAUAGCACCAUUUCGGAAAGCCCCAGAAACCAUAAUGGGCGGUGAAUAGGGGGCGCAAUUUUUCGGGCUCAAAUUCAGCCGUUUUGACCCUCAGACGGGCUGCGGAAAGUUAUGGCACGUAAAAAAGAUCGAAAGCGGAUUCUCAAGUGUUUUGUGUGCUUUCUUAACGCCGUUAACCUCGAUGCACUUUUUCGCUCGAAACAAAACGGCAAGAAAAUCAUGCGCGCCCCACGGCCUUACACUUGGAUUGGCCGCGAAAAGGAUAUAUAGAAACGAGAGUGAUGUACUGACGGGUGCGAUCAUACCAGCACUAAUGCACCGGAUCCCAUCAGAACUCCGCAGUUAAGCGUGCUUGGGCGAGAGUAGUACUAGGAUGGGUGACCUCCCGGGAAGUCCUCGUGUUGCACCCCUUUUUUUUUUUAAUUUUUUUUUAGCCUAAAACGAGUCUAAACUUGAAAACCUCAUAACUUUUGAACCGUGAGGAACUACGUCGCCCAUAGCACCAUUUCGGAAAGCC